Molecule: ribosomal RNA, 498 nt
Filed under: uncultured bacterium
Lineage: Bacteria
Description: partial 16S ribosomal RNA
Rfam family: Bacterial small subunit ribosomal RNA
Source: RNAcentral
ACGAACGCUGGCGGCGUGCUUAACACAUGCAAGUCGAACGGGCCCGCUCUCUUUUUUGGGGGUGGGUUGAGUGGCGAACGGGUGAGUAUCACGUGAGUAACCUGCCCCCUGCUCCUGGAUAACUGCUUGAAAGGGCGGCUAAUACGGGGUGUGCCGGCUGGUCCGCAUGGGCCUGGUCGGGAUAGUUUCAUCUUCGGGUGUUUCGGUGGGGGAUGGGCUCGCGGCCUAUCAGCUUGUUGGUGGGGUGAUGGCCCACCAAGGCGGUGACGGGUAGCCGGCCUGAGAGGGUGGGCGGCCACACUGGGACUGAGACACGGCCCAGACUCCUGCGGGAGGCAGCAGUGGGGGGUAGUGCACAAUGGGCGGAAGCCUGAUGCAGCGACGGCGCGUGAGGGAUGGAGGCCUUCGGGUGGUGAACCUCUUUCUCCGGUGGUGAAGGCCCUGUCCGUUGCGGCGGGGUUGACGGUAGCCGGGUAUGAAGCGCCGGCUAACUACGUG